RNAcentral lists this ribosomal RNA (500 nucleotides) under uncultured bacterium. RNAcentral describes it as "partial 16S ribosomal RNA". It matches the Rfam family "Bacterial small subunit ribosomal RNA", at positions 30 to 523 of the family's 1533-position model. The record is from RNAcentral.
AUUGAACGCUGGCGGCAUGCUUUACACAUGCAAGUCGAACGGUAACAGGGUGCUUGCACCGCUGACGAGUGGCGAACGGGUGAGUAAUGCGUCGGAACGUGCCGAGUAGUGGGGGAUAACGCAGCGAAAGUUGUGCUAAUACCGCAUACGUACUGAGGUAGAAAGUGGGGGACCUUCGGGCCUCACGCUAUUCGAGCGGCCGACGUCUGAUUAGCUAGUAGGUGAGGUAAAGGCUCACCUAGGCGACGAUCAGUAGCGGGUCUGGGAGGAUGAUCCGCCAGACUGGGACUGAGACACGGCCCAUAAUGCUACGGGAGGAAGCAGUGGGGAAUUUUGGACAAGUGGCGAAAGCCUGAUCCAGCCAUGCCGCGUGUCUGAAGAAGGCCUUCGGGUUGUAAAGGACUUUUGUCAGGGAUGAAAUCCCUAGUGCUAAUAACACUGGGGGAUGACAGUACCUGAAGAAUAAGCACCGGCUAACUACGUGCCAGCCGCCGCGGUAA